UGUAGGCUCUCUGAGCGAGAGAAGUUGAGAGAGGACAGUGACAAAGAAUCCCUUUUGAAGAUAAGAUAUAGUGUUGGGUUUACUAUUGAUUUUAAGAAACAAUAGUGGUUAUUAUUACAGUAAUGCCGUCCGGCGUACGAGUAAUUGAUUUCCCAUCACUGUUUUAGUACUGAGUUUUUAUUUGUUUAUCUGUUUUGAUUGACAGUUUUAGAGAAUAGUUUUGGGUUUACUGUUUUUUGGAAAAAUAGUGGUUAUUAUUACAGUCGUCCGUUGGAUGUACGAGUAAUCGAUUUCUCAUGAGCUGUUAAGAAACUGACACCUGUUUAUGCGAUGUGCAAAUGUUUUGUUUUUUCCCCAUAAACUGAUAGAGUGUG
Long non-coding RNA from Pseudoliparis swirei, 374 nucleotides. RefSeq lists it as uncharacterized. Lineage: Eukaryota; Metazoa; Chordata; Actinopteri; Perciformes; Liparidae. The transcript is spliced from 2 exons. The record is from RefSeq and is a predicted model, not a curated record.